RNAcentral lists this transfer RNA (61 nucleotides) under Zoodes fulguratus. RNAcentral describes it as "tRNA-Cys". Lineage: Eukaryota; Metazoa; Arthropoda; Insecta; Coleoptera; Cerambycidae. The record is from RNAcentral.
GGUUUUAUAUUCAAUGAUGAUUUUAAAUUGCAAAUUUAAAGGUGAAGUUAUUCUAAAGCCU